This 253-nucleotide ribosomal RNA is filed under the name uncultured bacterium. RNAcentral's name for it is "partial 16S ribosomal RNA". It matches the Rfam family "Bacterial small subunit ribosomal RNA", at positions 524 to 776 of the family's 1533-position model. The record is from RNAcentral.
GACGAACCGUGCAAACGUUACUCGGAAUCACUGGGCUUAAAGGGCGCGUAGGCGGUCUGCCAAGUCUUGGGUGAAAUCUUUCGGCUCAACCGGAAAAUUGCCUGAGAUACUGGCGGGCUCGAGGGAAGUAGGGGCCGUGGGAACGACCAGUGGAGCGGUGAAAUGCGUUGAUAUUGGUCGGAACGCCGGUGGCGAAAGCGCACGGCUGGGCUUCUUCUGACGCUGAGGCGCGAAAGCUAGGGGAGCAAACGGG